This 227-nucleotide long non-coding RNA is filed under the name Arabidopsis lyrata. Its description in RNAcentral is "long non-coding RNA (ALYR_LNC001452)". The record is from RNAcentral. Lineage: Eukaryota; Viridiplantae; Streptophyta; Magnoliopsida; Brassicales; Brassicaceae.
GUAACAUCAUUGUUGAAGAUGGGACAAAGCUCUCAUUAGACAAGCACAAAGAUGGGUUGAAUAGAUCGUAUAAGUUUGUGGAGAAAAUAAUAUAGAUUUUGUUAUAGCUGGACUCGAGAGACGAGCUGCCUAUGUACCCGAAGUGGGAUCAAGCCAAAACGUAGUUCGAUUACAACGAAGAGAAUGUAUUUCGUCAUUAUUAGGAAUGACGUUGUUUGUGUCUAAAU